GACGAACGCUGGCGGCGUGCUUAACACAUGCAAGUCGAACGGAAAGGCCCUGCUUGCAGGGUACUCGAGUGGCGAACGGGUGAGUAACACGCGGGUGGUCUGCCCUCCACUUCGGCAUAGGCCUGUGAGAGUGGGCCUAGUACCUGCUAGGAGCCAUUUUUAGUGUGAUGGUUCGAUAGUUAUUUCGGUGUUUGAUGAGCUCGCGGCCUAUCUGCUUGUUGGUGAGGUAAUGGCCUACGAAGGCGGCGACGGGUAGCCGGCCUGAGAGGGUGGACGGCCACCUUGGGCCUGAGAUACGGCCCAGAAUCCUAUCGGAGGCAGCGGGGGGGAAUAUUGCAGAAUGGGGGCAAGUCUGAUGCAGCGACCCCGCGUGGGGGAUGACGUGUUUCGGGUUGUAAACUACUUUCGCUGGAGACGAAGCCUUUGUGACGGUACCUAGACAAGAAGCACCGGCUAACUACGUG
This 464-nucleotide ribosomal RNA is filed under the name uncultured bacterium. Its description in RNAcentral is "partial 16S ribosomal RNA". It matches the Rfam family "Bacterial small subunit ribosomal RNA", at positions 28 to 507 of the family's 1533-position model. The record is from RNAcentral.